RNAcentral lists this ribosomal RNA (465 nucleotides) under uncultured bacterium. Its description in RNAcentral is "partial 16S ribosomal RNA". It matches the Rfam family "Bacterial small subunit ribosomal RNA", at positions 28 to 507 of the family's 1533-position model. The record is from RNAcentral.
GACGAACGCUGGCGGCGUGCUUAACACAUGCAAGUCGAACGGAAAGGCCCUGCUUGCAGGGUACUCGAGUGGCGAACGGGUGAGUAACACGUGGGUGAUCUGCCCUGCACUUCGGGAUAAGCUUGGGAAACUGGGUCUAAUACCGGAUAGGAGCCAUCUUUAGUGUGGUGGUUGGAAAGUUUUUUCGGUGUAGGAUGAGCUCGCGGCCUAUCAGCUUGUUGGUGGGGUAAUGGCCUACCAAGGCGGCGACGGGUAGCCGGCCUGAGAGGGUGUACGGCCACAUUGGGACUGAGGUACGGCCCAGACUCCUACGGGAGGCAGCAGUGGGGAAUAUUGCACAAUGGGCGCAAGCCUGAUGCAGCGACGCCGCGUGGGGGAUGAAGGCCUUCGGGUUGUAAACUCCUUUCGCUAGGGACGAAGCUUUUUGUGGCGGUACCUAGAUAAGAAGCACCGGCUAACUACGUG